Molecule: ribosomal RNA, 489 nt
Filed under: uncultured bacterium
Lineage: Bacteria
Description: bacterial SSU rRNA
Rfam family: Bacterial small subunit ribosomal RNA
Source: RNAcentral
GACGAACGCGUGGCGGCGUGGAUUAGGCAUGCAAGUCGAACGGUAGGAUACCUUCGGGUAUCUGAGAGUGGCGAACGGGUGAGUAACACGUAGGUGAUCUACCCUCAAGAUUGGGACAACCCAGGGAAACUUGGGCUAAUACCGGAUGAAAGCAGCAGUGAUGUUGUUUGAAAGGUGGCGUAAGCUGCCGUUUGGGGAUGAGCCUGCGCUCUAUUAGUUAGUUGGCGGGGUAAAGGCCCACCAAGGCGAUGAUAGAUAGGCGGCCUUAACGGGUGGUCGCCCACACUGGGAUUGAGAUACGGCCCAGACUCCUACGGGAGGCAGCAGUCGAGAAUAGUCUACAAUGGCCGAAAGGCUGAUAGUGCGACGCCGCGUGAACGAAGAAGCCCUUCGGGGUGUAAAGUUCUUUUAUAUGUGAGCAGUGCUUUCUAUGUGAACAGCAUGGGGAGAGAGAUAUUAGCAUAUGAAUAAGCAACGGCUAACUCCGUG